GAAAUUGGAUCCAAUUGGCUCUUCGAACUAGGCUCACCUGUCGUGUGAAUUGGUCCUUUCUCUUCCUGUUGACUCCCGUUAUUGGAAUCGAAUGGAGCAUUUCAGUAUGUCUCGACUGACUGUAACGGGGUGACUGAACUUGGCCACUCAUUAUUGCAUUGGAGUUGGUCGUUGCUCCUAAUAUUUGAGGUAACUCAACAUUAAAAAAAGUCCCCUUUCUUUAUAUUUUCACGAUAUACUCGUAUUAGAACACGAU
This 256-nucleotide long non-coding RNA is filed under the name Physcomitrium patens. RNAcentral's name for it is "long non-coding RNA (PPAT_LNC001519)". The record is from RNAcentral. Lineage: Eukaryota; Viridiplantae; Streptophyta; Bryopsida; Funariales; Funariaceae.